This 484-nucleotide ribosomal RNA is filed under the name uncultured bacterium. RNAcentral describes it as "partial 16S ribosomal RNA". It matches the Rfam family "Bacterial small subunit ribosomal RNA", at positions 30 to 507 of the family's 1533-position model. The record is from RNAcentral.
AUUGAACGCUGGCGGCAUGCCUAACACAUGCAAGUCGAGCGGUUGAAGGGAGCUUUCUCUUGUAUUCAGCGGCGGACGGGCGGGUAAUGCCUAGGAAUCUGCCUUGUCGUGGGGGAUAACGUCCGCAAACGGGCGCGUAUCCCACAUGGGUCCUUAGGGAGCUGUUGGGGGAUCUUCGGAGCUCACGCUUUGAGUUGAGCCUAGGUCGGUUUAGCUAGUUGGUGGGGUAAAGGCCUACCAAGGCGACGAUCCGUAACGGGUCUGAGAGGAGGAUCAGGCACACUGGAACUGGGACACGGUCCAGCCUCCUACGGGAGGCAGCAGUGGGGAAUAUUGGACAAUGGGCGAAAGCCUGAUCCAGCGAUGCCGCGUGUGUGAAGAAGGUCUUCGGAUUGUAAAGCACUUUUAGUUGGGAGGAAGAGCAGUAAGUUAAUACCUUGCUGUUUUGACGUUACCAACAGAAUAAGCACCGGCUAACUACGUG